Molecule: non-coding RNA, 23 nt
Filed under: Cricetulus griseus (Chinese hamster)
Lineage: Eukaryota; Metazoa; Chordata; Mammalia; Rodentia; Cricetidae
Source: RNAcentral
AGGCUUUGAGCUGGCGGAAGGGA